GGGAGGAGGUCGGAUCCUGGGCUGUGUCCCCGGCGCCCUGUGCUCCCGGGCCUGCGCUUUUGGAUUCGCGCUCCCGGCCGGCCAGCCCCUU
RNAcentral lists this microRNA precursor (91 nucleotides) under Canis lupus familiaris (dog). RNAcentral describes it as "mir-8799 microRNA precursor family". It matches the Rfam family "mir-8799 microRNA precursor family". The record is from Rfam by way of RNAcentral. Lineage: Eukaryota; Metazoa; Chordata; Mammalia; Carnivora; Canidae.